Molecule: non-coding RNA, 89 nt
Filed under: Anaerobacillus arseniciselenatis
Lineage: Bacteria; Bacillati; Bacillota; Bacilli; Caryophanales; Bacillaceae
Description: c-di-GMP sequence
Rfam family: c-di-GMP-I riboswitch aptamer
About the family: GEMM was predicted in a large-scale screen for bacterial structured RNA regulatory elements. Genes associated with GEMM are involved in a diverse array of functions, including chemotaxis regulation, signal transduction, secretion and chitin.
Source: Rfam by way of RNAcentral
CGUACGAAAGGGCAAAACCAUUGAAAAAUGGUGACGCAAAGCUACAGGGGCUUCAUUGAAUAAAUUUAAUAUGCCAGCCAGUUUCCGAA